Molecule: ribosomal RNA, 1023 nt
Filed under: Lulworthia sp.
Lineage: Eukaryota; Fungi; Ascomycota; Sordariomycetes; Lulworthiales; Lulworthiaceae
Also listed under: 1 other name
Description: SSU rRNA
Rfam family: Eukaryotic small subunit ribosomal RNA
Source: RNAcentral
UUAUACAGCGAAACUGCGAAUGGCUCAUUAAAUCAGUUAUCGUUUAUUUGAUAGUCCCCUACUACUUGGAUAACCGUGGUAAUUCUAGAGCUAAUACAUGCUAAAAACCGCGACUUCGGAAGCGGUGUGUUUAUUAGAUUAAAGACCGAUGCCCUCCGGGGCUGACUGGUGAUUCAUGAUAACCUUACGAAUCGCACGGCCUCGCGCCGGCGAUGGUUCAUUCAAAUUUCUGCCCUAUCAACUUUCGACUUUAGUGUAGUGGACUAAAGUGGUUGCAACGGGUAACGGAGGGUUAGGGCUCGACCCCGGAGAAGGAGCCUGAGAAACGGCUACUACAUCCAAGGAAGGCAGCAGGCGCGCAAAUUACCCAAUCCCGACGCGGGGAGGUAGUGACAAUAAAUACUGAUACAGGGCUCUUUUGGGUCUUGUAAUUGGAAUGAGUACAAUUUAAAUCCCUUAACGAGGAACAAUUGGAGGGCAAGUCUGGUGCCAGCAGCCGCGGUAAUUCCAGCUCCAAUAGCGUAUAUUAAAGUUGUUGUGGUUAAAAAGCUCGUAGUUGAACCUGGGCCCCGCGCCCGCCGGUCCGCCUCACCGCGUGCACUGGUGCGGCCGGGGCUUUCACCUGGGGAACCGCAUGUCCUUCGCUGGGCGUGCGUGGAACCAGGACCUUUACUGUGAAAAAAUUAGAGUGUUCAAAGCAGGCCUAUGCUCGGAUACAUUAGCAUGGAAUAAUAGAAUAGGACGCGUGGUUCUAUUUUGUUGGUUAUGGGACCGCCGUAAUGAUUAAUAGGGCCAGUCGGGGGCAUCAGUAUUCAGUAGUCAGAGGUGAAAUUCUUGGAUUUACUGAAGACUAACUACUGCGAAAGCAUUUGCCAAGGAUGUUUUCAUUAAUCAGGAACGAAAGUUAGGGGAUCGAAGACGAUCAGAUACCGUCGUAGUCUUAACCAUAAACUAUGCCGACUAGGGAUCGGGCGAUGUUACAUUCUGACUCGCUCGGCACCUUACGAGAAAUCAAAGUCUGUG